ACGUUAGCGGCGGACGGGUGAGUAGCACGUGGGUAACCUACCUAUAAGACUGGGAUAACUUCGGGAAACCGGAGCUAAUACCGGAUAAUAUUUCGAACCGCAUGGUUCGAUAGUGAAAGAUGGUUUUGCUAUCACUUAUAGAUGGACCCGCGCCGUAUUAGCUAGUUGGUAAGGUAACGGCGUACCAAGGCGGCGAUACGUAGCCGACCUGAGAGGGUGAUCGGCCACACUGGAACUGAGACACGGUCCAGACUCCUACGGGAGGCAGCAGAA
RNAcentral lists this ribosomal RNA (273 nucleotides) under uncultured Staphylococcus sp. Its description in RNAcentral is "partial 16S ribosomal RNA". It matches the Rfam family "Bacterial small subunit ribosomal RNA", at positions 89 to 354 of the family's 1533-position model. Lineage: Bacteria; Bacillati; Bacillota; Bacilli; Caryophanales; Staphylococcaceae. The record is from RNAcentral.